UGAUGCAAGUAGCAACAGGAAGUCAUACUUUCCCCUAGAUUUCAAACUUGCAAACAAAGUGGAGUAUACAAGUCCUGGUGGUCCCGAGACACUACACACCUGCAGUCGCAUCCCUUCUAAAACAAGCACUCAGUGUGGGAAACCUGGGGUGAGAGGAGCUGAGUAUUCCCAUGGGAAUUCGAAUGUGAGCCAUGGACCGACACUCCCACCUCCACCUGCCCUGAAACCUCUAGAGGUGGGGCAGAAUGCUCCAGGUGGGGAUAGUAAAGCAGACAAACCAGAGAAAGGUGAUAAGUCUGUUCCACCCUCCUUGCUUCCACAAACUAGUACGGUUCCCCAGCAACCUCCUCCUCCCAACACUCACCAUUACACCCCCACCAGCUGGUCAGGGGGACCUCCUUCUAGUUGUCCUGGCAACUGGGGAUAUGUACGUUACCCAGGUAACCACCACACACAUCCAAGCCAGCAGCCCCCAGUGCAGCAACAGCUUCCCUCUGUGUACAAUUCUCCUUCAUCCACCCGACACUCCUCCCACCCACCUUACUUAUCUCACCCUCAUCCCCACCCACACAAAGAGUUCCUGCCCAGGUAUAGCACUGCAGCUGAGCGGGAGAGGGGUGGGAGGGAAUUUGGCAACAGAGACUUCCCUGCAAGUAAUAGCAGUAGCAAUGCAAACAGCAGCAGCGGUAGCAUCUGUGGUAGCAUUUCUGGUGGUGGAGGACCCAACUCUAAUGUGGGCCGGGAUUUUGGGAACUCGCUACCUGGACAGAACAGCGAAUAUAGCGCAAACCGGGAUGGACCUGCAGGACCACAGAGUGGUCGGGAAUAUGGACCAGGGUUUAGAGAUCGGGAACGAGGAACUGGGAGGGAGUUUCCUCUGCAAAACCAGCAGCUUCAAGCACAGGGCAGAGAGUUUGGAACUGAAAGCACUGGAGGGGGUGGAUUUCAUCCAAGAGACAAGGACAGUAGGUGGGGAGAUUUAGCAGGCCAAGUUAGGGAGGCAGGAAGUAACAGUUAUGCUGGUAAUGCCAACCAAGCACCUGUAGGUGCCCCACCAUCUGCUUUACCUUCGGCGACCCUGGUGAACCGUGACCCAGCCAGUUCACCACAAAACAGCUCUGGUCAUCCUCCCUUUCCCUCGACAAAUUCCAUCCCCACAAGUAGAGACUAUCCCUCUCCAAUAGAUGCAAAUGUGCAGCAGACACUACAAGGACAGACUCCCCAAGCAGCCUCCAAUACUGCAGACCUUCCUCCCCCUCCAAUCUAUUUAAGAGAGUACCCUCCUCCAGGGUCAAACGAUCCUUACCCACCCCCUGGAUCAACCUCUUCUUCUGUCCCACUUUCUGGUGUGCCAAGGGAGUUCCCGAGCCCACCUGGACUGGCCCCAAAUCUUACUCGGGAGUAUCCUGGAGGACCUCCACUUCCACAUCACCCUCACUAUCCUGUCAAGACAGCCUUGUCUAUGCAGCGCAGAGACAGAGAGAGGGAAAAGGACAACACUACAUCUACUCUUCAUUCAAAUCGCAAUCACUCUCAAUCCCUUUCUCCUUCAUCAAGUGGUUCUGGACCUGGUCAUCCAAACUCUACUUCAUAUCCCCCUGCACCUCCUCCACCCUCCACUAGUUCACAUUGUCAGCCCACAUCCAUUACAUCCCUUCCAGGCAAUCAUGCUCGACAGGGCCCUUAUUCUUCAUCCAAUAAGACUCCACCAGCCCCGCUCUCUCCUAUUCCCAAUCCGAUGGGAGGGUUUACUCCUUUUCCAUCAACCUCUGCUCCUUCUGUACCACUUCCUGCAUCAGGUGUAUCCACCUCUUGUUCAUCAGGUUGCAGGCCUACUCCUUACCAUGGCACUUUAAGCAGUCAUACUCCUUUCAGUAGCUCAUACCAUGGCAAUGGUAACCAUGGAAAUAGCAAUGCCAAUGGCAAUGCUCCCAACAACAGCAAUAGCACUAGCACUCCAUCAUUAUUGCACUCCCCUCAAAACACUAAAGUACAACCGCAUCUCAAUAAUCCCUGUCAUAACAACACUGCUUCAACCCCCAGCACAUCUGUUGGAGUAGAUGGUCACUCUGAUUCAUCUUCUGGCCCAGUGCCACCACCUGUCAUCAAGGAGGAGCCAGUAGAGGACAGGGAGGAGUUGGAGAGCCCUCCUCCAGUUCUCCGAAGUCCUUCCCCAGAACCAAAACCUGUUGACAUUCCAGUUCAUGCCAGCCAAUCAGCUCGCUUUGGAAGAAGAGAAAUGAGGCCAUAG
Molecule: long non-coding RNA, 2251 nt
Organism: Sinocyclocheilus anshuiensis
Lineage: Eukaryota; Metazoa; Chordata; Actinopteri; Cypriniformes; Cyprinidae
Source: Ensembl